Molecule: ribosomal RNA, 800 nt
Filed under: uncultured bacterium
Lineage: Bacteria
Description: bacterial SSU rRNA
Rfam family: Bacterial small subunit ribosomal RNA
Source: RNAcentral
UCCAUGAUUCAGCGGCGGACGGGUGAGUAAUGCCUAGGAAUCUGCCUGGUAGUGGGGGACAACGUUUCGAAAGGAACGCUAAUACCGCAUACGUCCUACGGGAGAAAGUGGGGGAUCUUCGGACCUCACGCUAUCAGAUGAGCCUAGGUCGGAUUAGCUAGUUGGUGGGGUAAAGGCUCACCAAGGCGACGAUCCGUAACUGGUCUGAGAGGAUGAUCAGUCACACUGGAACUGAGACACGGUCCAGACUCCUACGGGAGGCAGCAGUGGGGAAUAUUGGACAAUGGGCGAAAGCCUGAUCCAGCCAUGCCGCGUGUGUGAAGAAGGUCUUCGGAUUGUAAAGCACUUUAAGUUGGGAGGAAGGGCAGUAAGUUAAUACCUUGCUGUUUUGACGUUACCGACAGAAUAAGCACCGGCUAACUUCGUGCCAGCAGCCGCGGUAAUACGAAGGGUGCAAGCGUUAAUCGGAAUUACUGGGCGUAAAGCGCGCGUAGGUGGUUCGUUAAGUUGGAUGUGAAAGCCCCGGGCUCAACCUGGGAACUGCAUCCAAAACUGGCGAGCUAGAGUAUGGCAGAGGGUGGUGGAAUUUCCUGUGUAGCGGUGAAAUGCGUAGAUAUAGGAAGGAACACCAGUGGCGAAGGCGACCACCUGGGCUAAUACUGACACUGAGGUGCGAAAGCGUGGGGAGCAAACAGGAUUAGACACCCUGGUAGUCCACGCCGUAAACGAUGUCGACUAGCCGUUGGGAUCCUUGAGAUCUUAGUGGCGCAGCUAACGCAUUAAGUCGACCGCCUGGGGAG